UAAUACGAAGGGGGCUAGCGUUGUUCGGAAUCACUGGGCGUAAAGCGCACGUAGGCGGACAUUUAAGUCAGGGGUGAAAGCCUGGAGCUCAACUCCAGAACUGCCCUUGAUACUGGGUGUCUCGAGUCCGGAAGAGGUAAGUGGAACUGCGAGUGUAGAGGUGAAAUUCGUAGAUAUUCGCAAGAACACCAGUGGCGAAGGCGGCUUACUGGUCCGGUACUGACGCUGAGGUGCGAAAGCGUGGGGAGCAAACAGG
This 256-nucleotide ribosomal RNA is filed under the name uncultured bacterium. Its description in RNAcentral is "partial 16S ribosomal RNA". It matches the Rfam family "Bacterial small subunit ribosomal RNA", at positions 521 to 776 of the family's 1533-position model. The record is from RNAcentral.